AUGCAGUUAUAUAUUCAAAAGCUAUUGCUGUCAGUUUGAUUAUGGGUUAUUCCCUUAUGUAUGAAAAUGGAAGUAACUUUGACUCCCUUAUGUCUGGUCUCUUAAAGUACGAAGAAGUAAAUCCUGCUAUUUCCUAGUGUUCUUCACAUGCAUUAAGAUAGUCUUUUGUUUUGUUUCCUUAGGCUGGAAGAUUUGCUGUUCCAACCCCCUAAGACACAAAGUUAAUUUAUUUAAUAGUCAUUUGCAGUCAUAUCUAGUGUGUGUACAUGGCAAUGGAGUCACCUAUCAAUUAUGGCUACAGUUGUCUUGAUUCAGCCUACCUCCAAAAGAGAUAAUAAAAUGGAAGGAAAAAAGGUGCAGAGCUAGCCGGGGUUGAGCGAAAAGAUCAGAGG
Lonchura striata (white-rumped munia) is the source of this 392-nucleotide non-coding RNA. The record is from RefSeq and is a predicted model, not a curated record. NCBI's taxonomy places the organism in Eukaryota, Metazoa, Chordata, Aves, Passeriformes, Estrildidae.